AUUGAACGCUGGCGGCAUGCCUUACACAUGCAAGUCGAACGGUAACAGGUUAAGCUGACGAGUGGCGAACGGGUGAGUAAUGUAUCGGAACGUGCCCAGUCGUGGGGGAUAACUGCUCGAAAGAGCAGCUAGUACCGCAUACGACCUGAGGGUGAAAGCGGGGGAUCGCAAGACCUCGCGCGAUUGGAGCGGCCGAUAUCAGAUUAGGUAGUUGGUGAGGUAAAGGCUCACCAAGCCGACGAUCUGUAGCUGGUCUGAGAGGACGACCAGCCACACUGGGACUGAGACACGGCCCAGACUCCUACGGGAGGCAGCAGUGGGGAAUUUUGGACAAUGGGCGCAAGCCUGAUCCAGCCAUGCCGCGUGCGGGAAGAAGGCCUUCGGGUUGUAAACCGCUUUUGUCAGGGAAGAAAAGGUUCUGGCUAAUACCUGGGACUCAUGACGGUACCUGAAGAAUAAGCACCGGCUAACUACGUG
RNAcentral lists this ribosomal RNA (477 nucleotides) under uncultured bacterium. Its description in RNAcentral is "partial 16S ribosomal RNA". It matches the Rfam family "Bacterial small subunit ribosomal RNA", at positions 30 to 507 of the family's 1533-position model. The record is from RNAcentral.